RNAcentral lists this ribosomal RNA (563 nucleotides) under Bacillus pumilus. RNAcentral describes it as "partial 23S ribosomal RNA". It matches the Rfam family "Bacterial large subunit ribosomal RNA", at positions 2349 to 2910 of the family's 2925-position model. Lineage: Bacteria; Bacillati; Bacillota; Bacilli; Caryophanales; Bacillaceae. The record is from RNAcentral.
GUGUAAAGGCACAAGGGAGCUUGACUGCGAGACCUACAAGUCGAGCAGGGACGAAAGUCGGGCUUAGUGAUCCGGUGGUUCCGCAUGGAAGGGCCAUCGCUCAACGGAUAAAAGCUACCCCGGGGAUAACAGGCUUAUCUCCCCCAAGAGUCCACAUCGACGGGGAGGUUUGGCACCUCGAUGUCGGCUCAUCGCAUCCUGGGGCUGUAGUCGGUCCCAAGGGUUGGGCUGUUCGCCCAUUAAAGCGGUACGCGAGCUGGGUUCAGAACGUCGUGAGACAGUUCGGUCCCUAUCCGUCGCGGGCGCAGGAAAUUUGAGAGGAGCUGUCCUUAGUACGAGAGGACCGGGAUGGACGCACCGCUGGUGUACCAGUUGUUCUGCCAAGGGCAUCGCUGGGUAGCUAUGUGCGGACGGGAUAAGUGCUGAAAGCAUCUAAGCAUGAAGCCCCCCUCAAGAUGAGAUUUCCCAUUCCGCAAGGAAGUAAGAUCCCUGAAAGAUGAUCAGGUUGAUAGGUCUGAGGUGGAAGCGUGGUGACACGUGGAGCUGACAGAUACUAAUAGAUC